GGAGAGGUGGCCGAGCGGCCUAAGGUGCUUGCCUGCUAAGCAAGUGAGGGUGUUUGCCCUCCGAGGGUUCGAAUCCCUCCCUCUCCGCCA
RNAcentral lists this transfer RNA (90 nucleotides) under Thermotogota bacterium ADurb.Bin062. RNAcentral describes it as "Thermotogae bacterium ADurb.Bin062 tRNA-Ser". It matches the Rfam family "tRNA". Rfam says of the family: Transfer RNA (tRNA) molecules are approximately 80 nucleotides in length. Their secondary structure includes four short double-helical elements and three loops (D, anti-codon, and T loops). RNAcentral also lists the same sequence under 2 other names. The record is from RNAcentral. Lineage: Bacteria; Thermotogati; Thermotogota.